RNAcentral lists this ribosomal RNA (1037 nucleotides) under uncultured bacterium. RNAcentral describes it as "bacterial SSU rRNA". It matches the Rfam family "Bacterial small subunit ribosomal RNA", at positions 96 to 1111 of the family's 1533-position model. The record is from RNAcentral.
UGGCGAACGGGUGAGUAACAGGUGGAAAACCUGCCCUAUAAUGGGGGAUAACAGUUCUAACGAACUGCUAAUACCGCAUACGACCUUUGGAUCGCAUGGUUUGAAGGUGAAAGGUGGCCUCUCUUUGAAGCUGCCGUUAUAGGAUGGUUCCGCCUCCCAUUAGCUUGUUGGUGGGGUAAUGGCCUACCAAGGCGACGAUGGGUAGCCGGCCUGAGAGGGUGUCCGGCCACACUGGGACUGAGAUACGGCCCAGACUCCUACGGGAGGCAGCAGUCGAGAAGCUUCGGCAAUGGGCGAAAGCCUGACCGAGCGAUGCCGCGUGAGUGAAGAAGGCCCUAUGGGUUGUAAAGCUCUGUCAGAUUGGGAAGAAAACUCUGCGGUUAAUACCCGUAGAGCUCGACGGUACCAUCAGAGGAAGCACCGGCUAACUCCGUGCCAGCAGCCGCGGUAAUACGGAGGGUGCAAGCGUUGUUCGGAUUCACUGGGUAUAAAGGGUGCGCAGGCGGCCCGAUAAGUCAGGGGUGAAAUAUGACGGCUUAACCGUCAAACUGCCCCUGAAACUGUCAGGCUUGAGUUCGAGAGAGGUAGGUGGAAUUCCAGGUGUAGCGGUGAAAUGCGUAAAUAUCUGGAGGAACACCGGUGGCGAAGGCGGCCUACUGGCUCGAUACUGACGCUCAGGCACGAAAGCAUGGGGAGCGAACGGGAUUAGAUACCCCGGUAGUCCAUGCCGUAAACGAUGGGUACUAGGUGUUGGAGGAUUCUACCCCUUCAGUGCCGCAGCUAACGCAUUAAGUACCCCACCUGGGGAGUACGAUCGCAAGGUUGAAACUCAAAGGAAUUGACGGGGGCCCGCACAAGCGGUGGAGCAUGUGGUUUAAUUCGAUGCAACGCGAAGAACCUUACCUGGGCUUGACAUGCAGGGGACAGAUGUAGAAAUACAUCCUUCUUCGGACUCCUGCACAGGUGCUGCAUGGCUGUCGUCAGCUCGUGUCGUGAAAUGUUGGGUUAAGUCCCGCAACGAGCGCAACCCUUGUCUU